GCACCUUGUGCUUGGAGCCAACCUUAGUCGCUUUGAAACCGCGUGCGUGAUCCGGUGUCGAUCUUAUUUAUCUUGUUUCGAGAGUAACCGCACAAAAAACCAUCCGCCAUGGACGCCAUCAAGAAGAA
This is a long non-coding RNA of Sitophilus oryzae (rice weevil), 128 nucleotides long. RefSeq lists it as uncharacterized. NCBI's taxonomy places the organism in Eukaryota, Metazoa, Arthropoda, Insecta, Coleoptera, Curculionidae. The record is from RefSeq and is a predicted model, not a curated record. The transcript has 2 exons.